AUAUAGUAACAAUGACUAAGAUCAAGUGUAGUAUCUGUUCUUAUCAGUUUAACAUCUGAUAUGUAGCUUGUUGAGUUGCACGAUAUUAAAUUAUUUUUUUGAGGGGAAGAUGUCACCAGAGUAACUUGCCUUUGGGUUUCUCCCGUGUAGCCAAUGUGUUUCACUAUUGCAUUGGCUAGUGCAUGCCAC
Molecule: small nuclear RNA, 189 nt
Organism: Trifolium pratense (red clover)
Lineage: Eukaryota; Viridiplantae; Streptophyta; Magnoliopsida; Fabales; Fabaceae
Product: U2 spliceosomal RNA
Exons: 1
Source: RefSeq, a predicted model, not a curated record